CCCGUGCCGGUGCGGGGGCGAAAGCCGCAGACCGGACGCGCCUUAGUCGGUGAGUGGCGCGGCGACAACGAACCCCGACAGCC
This is a small RNA of Alicycliphilus denitrificans K601, 83 nucleotides long. It matches the Rfam family "Proteo-phage-1 RNA". NCBI's taxonomy places the organism in Bacteria, Pseudomonadati, Pseudomonadota, Betaproteobacteria, Burkholderiales, Comamonadaceae. The record is from Rfam.